This 11093-nucleotide long non-coding RNA is filed under the name Homo sapiens (human). Its description in RNAcentral is "long non-coding RNA NONHSAT211898.1". The record is from RNAcentral. Lineage: Eukaryota; Metazoa; Chordata; Mammalia; Primates; Hominidae.
CCAUUGAAAACCAUUGAUAGGAGGUAAGGACACAGAAGCCCAGGGAAUAUAAGUAACCUCCCAAAAAUCGCACAGCAGAUCCAACUAGCACAAUGUCAAUGAUGAAAUGGACCAGUGUCAUAUUCUGCGGGAUAUCAAGGCAAUCAAGAUCAUCUUGGACUGUAUUGUGACAGAGGGCCAGGGAGUGAACAGAGCCCUUAUAAUGACAGAUCUCAUAUAUCGCAGCAACAAAGAUGGCCCCCAGGAGUUCCAUGGACCCUUAUUUCUCAUCAUUUAGAAGGAGAAAGCACCUCUUUCCUCAGUUCCUCUCUUCAGGACUCCCAGUACCCCUGCUUCUGGUGACAGCCCAUGGCAGGUGGGGAGGACGUGCAGAUGGAAAGAAUGAGAAGGGCAGGUUUGGGCCCUCAUGGGUGACAGAAAAGUACCAGAGUUCUGGUUCCUCUUUGAACACACAUGUUCUCUGGGUUUCGCCUUGCAGCCCAAGAAGAGAGGAGGCUUGGAAUCACCACACUUCCCACAGCAAGGGCAAUCUUUAAAGGCAGUAAGGUGUGACGCUCCAGACUGGCAGCUUGGCAAGACAGAGCCCAUGGAUACCAGCACACGGGAAUCUGGACGGCUCACUCUGACAGCAGUCAGCACUGGGAACAAAAGGAAUGGAGGGAAAAAAGCGCAAAUGUAUUUUUACAUAUUGUAGGCAUAUGGCCACAAGACCAGCAGAAAUAUAUUUAAUUACCAAUUGCACGCAUUGAGGAGAAAAACACUGGAAAUGGGGGAAAAACUGUAUACACAGCAAUAUUAUUCUAAUUUAACUUUUCACCUCAGUUUUUUUUUUCUUUCUUUAAUUGAAAAUGGAAGGGAAUGUGGGUUGGAAUCGCAAAGGGUUAUCUUCUGGAAUUCUAUCAAAGGUGAUGUGGGAUUUUGACAUGCCUUCUUUAACAGCAUAACAUUAUAGAAAGAAAUAGGAAAGUUUUCUUUUAGUUAUUUUAAUUAUGAAAUAAUUUGACCAAGGCGUUUUGGGGGAGUGGGGCAGACCGGAUUUGAAAUAUAACAGUUAGACAAUCUUACUGUCAUGUUAAAACUGUACUUUUGAUGUUACACAUUAGGCCUCAACAAUUAAUAACCUAAUCUUGAAAAAUUAUAUUCUUGUUCUUUUCUAUGAAAGCAGAAUACUUCAACCCCAUUUAUUGUCAGGUAUUGUCCUAGCCAGUGGAGGUACAGAGGUGAAUCAGAUGUCAUCCCUGCACUGAAGAAGCAUAGCCUAGGCUGGGAGACAAAUACACAUAUAUAUAAUUAUAAUGUUAUACCAUUAAAUUAUUAAAUAUGUGAAAAUUAUCAUUAGCUAAAAUCACAAUUAUAAUACACAUAAUACCAUCUAUAUAAGGCAAUGAUGUAGCUAUAUGAAUCCAGGGGCCAUAGAGGAUUGACUCUUAGUUCAGUCUGGGUGUCAGUCACACUGGAGGACCAGGGAGGAGACCUCUUCCAGGAAAAGCUGAUGAAAAGGAUCAGUGAGAAAAAGCCCGGGAAGAAGGCAGUUGCAUUUUGCAGAAUGAAGGAGUUUGGGCCAGUGUGAGCCAGCUCCCUUCCUAGGGUGCCGGCUCAGGGAGUCAGGUAAUGGGGCCAGGGAAACGUGUGCCCACUGACUUGGGAAAGAGAGAGGGGCCCAUACCUCCUUCUUGGCAGGAAAGAAAAUCACAGCCCCGAAAAAGUAACUUGCCAGGAGCCCCCUUCUUUGUAGCAUUCCUAUCACUGACUUCCUGUUAGCCUGGGUCUCCUGUUCUCACCCUGCUCUUUGAAAUCCUUGGUGGCCAGUGCCGGCUAUGUAGGUGACCUGUGCUCCCUGGUCCCAUGGAGGUUCUGCCCAGCUGACCAGCCUUGCAGUCUGUUUCUGCAGCCCAGAUAAUGGUUCAGAGGCAUGUUAAUGUGUGCUUUGCUUUAUGUAGCAAAUAUCAUCUUGAAAAGUUUUUUUGUACAUUUACUUUUUUUUUGUAAAGCGACCUACAUAAUAAAAGCACUAGGGGAGCUGGUUAUUUAAAGGAACCCUGUAGUGAAUCUUUUCAUAAUGUAGAAGCCAUUCCUUAAUUAAUCUUUGUUUUUCAUCAGACAUACCUGUGCCUCUGUGGCUUUUCUUUUUUUUUUUUUCUAAGAGGAAGCGGCCUAGGCUAUAGUGCCAAGUGCGUGAGACUGAGGGCCAGGGCUUCCAGAGCGCAUGCUGAGCUGUUGCUGGCUGCCACUGGGUUGAGGAUGUGAGCAUAACCUUGGGGUCAGUUCUAUCUUCUGACAAAGGCACAAUCAAAUGGGCUUAGGUUCAAAUCCGGGUUUUACCAUCCAUCGACUUCAUUUGGCAAUUCACUUGUUUCCUUGAAUGUUAGUUCUUUACCCAUGUACUGGGUGGUUACAUACGUCAAAUCAAAAAGUUUCUCCGAGGGCCUGGCAUCAUAGCUAUGACUAAGGGUUUGCUUGCCCCCACUCCAAUUCUACUCUGCUCCACUCUGCAACAGCCCCUUGGAGCAAGAGCCACAGCUGGACUUGUUGGGAGGAAAUACUUGUUAACUUGGGACCUCCCUGCAACUGUUUCCUCAGAGGAGAGGAAAUGCCCACUCUACUCCCCAGGAGGAAGGUGGAUAAAAGACAAUAUUUUAGACUAUUCUUUACCCCUGGUUACCCAUGGUAAAAAGUGAUUGAUCUUAAUAGUAAAGUUUCAGAUACAGCCAUCUUGGGCAGGUCUGUACAUUCAAGUAUGGUAGUAUGGGCUGCCCUCCCCCACCGCCACACCCUCAGACAGGCCCAUAUGUUUUAAAUUGAUCCAAAUCUGCUCUUUUUUUCCAUAUCUGAGCCCACCCCUGUGGCUCUUCAGGAGCUUUUGGUCUGAGCAAGGGUCCCACAGCCUCCCCUGAUCCUGUUUCAUCAGUUAUAAACCUGUUGGAACAUUGUGUCUGCUCAGCUUGCUAGAACUUUUUACCUCCCUAUCCUCUAGCUGCUGGGGAGGGCAGACACCUGCUUGGCACCACACAUGCUUUCCGGUCAUCUGGUCACCUGUGGGCCUGCAGCUAGGGUGGUGGUUGUGGCUGGAGCUUAGAGCCACAUCCAGUGAGGGUCACAGAGCUCCUCAGAGAAGUGCUGGGAGUGAGACUCCAACCCGCCCCAGCACUGAGGUGGGGUUGAGGGAUGUGGCUGAAUGACCAAGGGGAUGGCCAUAGACUCUAUCCAGGAAGAGAAAUCCCAAGGGCAGGCAGGUUAACCUGUCCCCACAAACUCAUGUCCAGGCCCUGGGGUUCCCAACCCUGACUGAUGAGAACCGACAGCUAUACCCUUUUGGUUGGCAUUUCUGAGAAUUGCGUGGACAAUUCUCUUCUCUUUUCUUACUGAAGGAAGGACAGAUAUAGAGGUGGUUCUAACUCUGGUGCUGGUAUAUUUGUGACUAUCACUGGGAUCAUAUUACCAGAGUAAGUUUGACCAAUUUGGAGAAUUGGCCUUGGAGAGGUCAACACUUAAGAGAAAGGCCAAGGCCAUGGCCUGGCUCAAAUGGAUCCCAUUUCUUGCACAUGAGUUACACUGACUCAGUUAUUGGAGAGCCCUCUUGUGCUUGGGUAGGAAUUUGAAAUGUUGAAGUAGUCAUGGGUUAGGGACCUGCUGCUAAUGACCCUCCUGUAACCCAAACUUAAGAUACUUCUGGAAAAUAGACUACAUCAGAAGACUUCUAAGGUCCCUCAUUCACUCAUUCAUCUAUUCUUUUAUCUGGGAUUUAUCAGGGACCUACCAUGUACCAGGUUCUAUACCACCUGUUGGAGAAACAAUGGUGAAUGAGUCCCUGCACUUCCAAGGCUUGCAGUCCAGUAGUAGAGAGGCAAGUGAAGACAAUUAACUCGGUAUGAGAAGCACAAAAGAUAGAUAGGGGAGCACAGACCAGGGACAGCACACCCAGUUUAGAGGGACUGGGAAACAUUUCUGGAGAAAAUGAUCAGUAAUGUUAGGUGUUUUUGUCCAGGAAAGGCUGAGGGGGGUGACAACACCCUUCCAAGAAGGCUUGCACUGUGAACAACACUGAAGUGACUUGCCCAGGGGCACUCUAUAAGUAGCAGAGCCUGGAUUGUUCAAAAGUGAAACCCUACGUUCUUAGUCACGUUGCUCCACUGUCAAUAUUGAAAUGAUUAUUCAAGAGGCCCAACUAUUGAUUAUAAACAAUAGUGCAUUGCAGAUCUGGCUGCUUUCUUGGCCAUGUGGGGCUUUGAGCUCUAGCCCCUAAAUCAGCAGAGAAAACACAAUCCAGCCACAGAUGGUGGCUCACACCUGUAAUCCUAGCACUUUGGGAGGCUAAGGCGGGUGGAUCACCUGAGGUCAGGAGUUCGACACCAGCCUGGCCAACAUGGUGAAACCCGUCUCUACUAAAAAUACAAAAAAAUUAGCUGAGCGUUGUGGCAGGCACCUGUAAGUCUCAGCUACUUGGGAGGCUGAGGCAGGAGAAUCGCUUGAACCCAAGAGACAGAAGUUGAAGUGAGCAGAGAUUGCACCACUGCACUCUAGUCUGGGUGACAGAGUGAGACUCUGAAAAAAAAAAGAAGGAAGAAAGGAAGGAAGGGAGAAAGGAAAGAGAGAAAAGAAAGAAAGAAAAAGAAAGAGGGAAGAAAGAAAAAGAAAGGAAAGAAAAAGAAAGAAAAGAAAAAGAAAGAAAAAAGAAAGAAAAAGAAAGAAAGAAAAAGAAAGGAAGAAAGAAAGGAAGAAGAGAAGAAAGGAAGAAAGAAAGGAAAGAAAGAAAGAAAGAAAGAAAGAAAGAAAGAAAGAAAGAAAGAAAAAGAAAGAAAGAAAGAGAAAGAAAGAAAAAGAAAACACAAUCCAAACUAUUGAGUAGUCAGGGGAGUUAGGCAGGAACAAUACCGAUGUUGUCUGGACCCUGAAUAACAUAUUCCAAACAACUUUCUCAUUGCCUAAGUAAGUCGAAAGUACUGUUUUGCAAUUUGGUUGCAGUGUGCAAGUUUGGUUGAUUUCAUGUGUCUUAAAGAAUUAUGCUCUGUAGACACCAUGUGAUUACUUUUUAAAGUGAAGUGAAGUAAGAGUGAUACUUAAUAUCACAGUAUUAGGGCAAUGCCUUUAUAAAUUAGAUGCCUACUUUAAAAUUUAUAAAAUUGUGGCACCAAAUAUAUGUACAGUCAACCUGCUGUAUCUGGAGGUUCCACGUCUGUGGAUUCAACUAAUCAUGGAUUGAAAACAUUUUUACAAGAUGGCUGGUCAUGUCUGUCCUGAACAUGUAUGAAAUUUUUUAUUGUUAUUCCCUAAACAAUAUAGUAUAGCAACUAUUUACAUAACAUUUACACUGUAUUAGGCAUUACAAAUAAUUUAGAGAUGAUUUAAAGUAUACAGGAGGUUGUGCAUAGGUUGUAUGCAAAUACCAUGCCAUUAUACAUGAGAGACUUAAGCAUCUGUGGAGUUUGAUAUUAGCAGUAGGUCCUGGAAUCAAUCCUCCAGUGAUACUAAGGGAUAACUGUAUAUUCAUAUUCUGUCUCCUGGAAAGAUAUAAAAUGUCUCACAACAAAAGUAAUUUUUUUUAAAAAUUAAGAUUCAAGGAAGUAACACUAGGAAGUUCAAUUUGAAUGGAAUAUACAUAAAAUUUAUUUCUGGGUUCCCUGGGAGCCAAAGCAAAAAGGGAAACAUGAAAAAAAUGCAUAAUUUUUUUUUAUCAAAAAGGAGAAAGCAGAUUCACUCCCCCUGGAAAAAAAAGUGUUUGCAAAGACAAAAAUUCUAAAAAUAGUAAUUUAACAUAGACUUAACCUUUGGAAGAAAGAAGAAACAAUUCAAGGUGUUUGUAAUGUAAUGGAUUAUCAUAUAAUCAAGAACUAUGAUGAAAUAGAGAACACUCUUUCCUUUAAACCUAGAACAGAGAAAGAAUUCCUAUCAGAGAACUAUUAAUGGAAAGUCAGAACCACUAGGCUCUGAUGUGCAGAUCUAGGUUCAAAAUGCAGCGCUUAUUUAUCUAUUUAGUUAUGUGUUUAUGAGGCAACUAUUUGUUGAUUACCUAGUCUGUGCCAUUCAUGUUUCUAGGGCUGUGAUGGAGUGAUGAAAAAGAAAAAGUCCCUGCUCAUAAUUCACAUAAUGACUCCAGCACAUUAAUAUAAAAUUUUACAGUUUUAAUUGUCACAUGAUGUGUGAUGGAUGAAUUAUGAGUUAAUCAACUUACAUGAUACUUUAUGGUUUGCAAAAUGUUUUCACACAUCAUUACAACCCAAAUCUCCUUGCAGAAGCAUGGGGACAUUCUAGACAUAGCUCAACAUUCAAAUUUGGACUAAUGCUCCUGGUUAAGGAGUCUUGAUAUAUCAUGAAAGUAUUGGUUGUGCUUAUAUUUUUCCAUUAAAAAGGAUAUGCUUAAGAGCCCAUUUCAGUAAUUAGGAAGAAAGUUAGCUAGCAAAUGCCACAAGAGACUUUAACAUACCUUGAUGUGCUUAAGAGUUGAACAUUGCACUCAGUGACACUUAGUUUAAUGAAUAUCACAAUUUUCUUCACAUCCCAUGAAGCAUUGCAGGACUUUUGGCAAAAUGUGAGGUCCUUCUGCUAGGCACAGCUAGGAAAUACUAAUAACUGUUAAAUGAGAACCUCUUGUUCCUAUCUUAAGGCAAUGACAUCAUUCAUAUGGUUCACUCAGCCUCUCAGGCCUUUUAUUCUCCUCCUUCAGCAUGCCUAUUGCAUACAAUAGGUAAAGAAUUCUCCUUCUUUUCCAGUUAAUUAACCCACCUGCUAAUAAUACUCUUCUGUCCUUGAUUGAUUCAGAGCAACCUCCAGCUGUCAGCCUCCUAUCUAGUCAGAAGCUUUUGAUGAUGAAAAUGGAGUCCAUAAGAAAGAAAUGGGCUACAAAUAUUAAGUGCAGGCAGGCAAGGUGCAAGUAGGGUGAUAUCUUAUCCCAGUUUGCCCAGAAUUUUAUGCUUUUAGUGCUGAAGAUCCCAAGUCCUGGGAACCCACUAAAUAGGACUAGGAAUUGUUCCCCUAAGUGCAGGGAAUCAUCUCUAUAGUCAAACAGCAACAAAUGAGUAAACAUGAGGGGGCAGGUAACAGCAGAUGUUUUAGUUUGGAUUCCUCCAAUAGCAGGCUCUAAGUCUAGGAUUCCAUGCAAGUGGUUUACUGGGAGAUGAUCCUAGGAAACAGUGGUAGGGGAGAAGAGAAAUGAGAUAGGAAAGCAAUUGCCACUGUGGGCAUCUGGAACCUAUUCCUACUGAGAAACACUGAGAGUAGUGCAAUACAUGUGCCUUUGAGCCAUGCUGCCUGAGGGGAAUUGGAGUUGGGGUAACUACCAGUUGUUAGUUGAAGUCUGUUCUUAGUGGUGGAGGCGGAGUUUGCUAAUUGUGCCUGCUGAGCCUAUGGGCAGAGUGGACCUCAAUUUUCCGAGAAAGUUCUCCAACCAAAAGAUGCAGAUGCUGCAGGUAGAAGCUGUGCUAUAUUGCACACUGAAAUGGUAAGGUAGGACAGUGAUGAUGCUGUUACAAUGGGUCUACAUUGUUUUCCAGGUCAACUCAUUCUACAGCACUGACUGGCUAACUCUUCCCUGUGUGGACACAGCUUCUUUGGUAAUAUAAGAAAAAAACAUGUGUGCUAGAUAUGGGGGAGAGUAAGGAUUUGAGUGGAUAUUUGAAAGGCAGAUGAGUUUGAUGCCUUGGAAUCAUGCCUAAUAUAUGUUCUUUUCAUUCGUGAUUAUCAUAUAGCCAAACUAUAGAUAUGUGGGAUUAGUAGUCUCCAAUAAGGCCACUUCCAAGUAGUCUUCCAAGUAGCCUUCAAUCAUACCACUUCAGGCAUUAAUUCUAUUAGUCUGAAUGAUUUGGGCAGAUGAGACUUUUGAACACCACUUGGUCUUACCAUGGCUUAUGAGGCCUCAUUAUCAUAAAAAGUAGACUUGUUCUUUCACUUAUAUCUUUCUCUGAGCCAUUAUAAACCAUUUUAUUAUUUCUGUCUUUGAGCUGAACAAAGUUGUCUCUCAGGUCUCCUAUAGAAAUAUCUAGAACAUGACCUCCUUCUGAAGUUUGUAAUGUAUUCAGAGUGGAAUGCGAUGGUAAGCUGUGCACCUGGGUAUACAAGCAAGGUACUUGGAGUUGAUGGGUGAGCUACAUUCAGCCUCAUUCAGCCCUGAAGACCAAGAUUGUUCAUCUUCCAGCUGACCUGACAAGCACCUCUGCCAAAUAGAGAUUAUUGAAUCUGGAUAGACGCUGAAGAGUCAAUCAGAUUGUUGUUCAAGGAGUUUAGCAAAGACAAUUGGUGAACAGAAGCCAUAUGUAAUUAAAAGCCUCACUGUAGGGAGAGACCAGUGUGAGAAUUGCUUGGUUGUGGUGGAGAGAUCUUAGGCACAAAUGCAGAGCAGUUGUGUGGAGCUGUGGUCAUGACAGACGGUCUUUGGAAUGAGAAGCAAUGUUUCCCUGCCAUGGAGAGGAAAAGGAAACCAGGUGGCUCAACCUGGCUUGUGUCUUAAAAGUCAACCCAGCAUCUAUGAGUCUGCCUCUGAAGCUAUUGGGACACUCUUCUGUAUUCUUCAGUUCCCACGUGCAGCCUUAUGAGAAAUAGUUAAUUGUCUCCACCAACCCGAAAUAACCCAACUAACGUAUCUUUUAAGUAUUUGAAAUCACCACUCACCUGUCUCUGACUUAGGCUAAACAAUUUUAAUUCCAUUAUUUUUUAUUUUUACCAUUUAAACAUUAGUUUAAUUUUAAUUUUUUUUUUUCGGAGAUGGGGUCUUACUCUGUCGCCCAGGGCUGGAGUGCAGUUGCACAUGGCUCACUGCAGCCUCAACCUCCUGUGUUUAAGCGAUCCUCCCUACCUCUAGCCUCCUGAGAAGCUGGGACCACAGGCAUGUGCCAGCAUGCCCUGCUAAUUUUUACUUUUUUAUUUUUGUAGAGAUGCAGCCUCCUUAUGUUGCCCAGGGCUGGUCUCAAACUCCUGGGCUCAAGUGAUUCUCCUGCCUCGGCCUCCCAAAGUGCUGGGAUUAUAGGCAUGAGCCACUGCACCUGGCCUUAUUUUGAAUUUGAAGACUUAUACAUUCAAUUCAGCCUCUUCAAGUCCUCCUACCUAGGAGGCACUGGGGAGUAGACUAGCAUGAGAUAUGAGACUUAGGGUCAGAAAUACAUAGAUUCCAAGCUUGGCCCAGCAGUCCACUUUAAAUGUGCAUAUGGGCAAGCUACUUAACUUCUCUGAAGCUUAAAUGAGAAUUAUAUUUAUAAUUAACAAUAUUAUUAUUACCCCCACAAAAAAUAAGAUACGUGAAAAUCUUUUUCUCUACCCUUCCUUGCCCUCAGAUAUAUUCUAUGAAAGACUGAGAUUUGUUAUCUUAUAAAAUAGAAUCUAAUAAAGAAAAUAAAAGAGUAGGAAUUAAAAACAUGAUAAAUGGAGAAUAAUAAGUGAAGAAAGCCAAUAUUAUUUGAGCUACAAACUUAAUAGUGAGCUUCUUGGAAAUGAACAAAAGCAAAAUGCAAUAGUCACAUCCUACUCUAAUAAAAUGAAAUAUAAAAUUUUAUAAAGUAAGAAAUAUGAUUUUUAGUUUACCUGUAAUGUGAAUUGUUACAUUGGUUCUGUUUUAAGAGACAUUGAAACAGACAGCAGAAAUUUUAUAGUAGACAGAGAAAGGACCUCUGUAUCCUAUUUCUUUUAUUAACUGCAAAUUAAAAGCUAUGCAUGUAGAGUUGUGUUGGAGGUUUCUUGAAGGUAUUUUCAUAGACAGAUGAGAGAAGAUAUAGCCAAGGUAGCCAAGACAUGUUUUUUCUUUUCUUUUCUUUUCUUUUUUCUUUUUUCUUUUUGGGCGACAGGUUCUCACUCUGUUGCCCAGGCUGGAGUGCAGUGGCGCGAUCAUAGCUCACUGCAGCCUCAACAUCCUGAGCUCAAGCCAUCUUCCCAUGCAAGCCCCCCAGUAGCUGGGACUACAGGCAUGUGCCAGCACACCUGGCUAAUUUUUUAUUUUUAGUUUUUGUAGAGACGAGGUCUCACUACGUUGCCCAAGCUAGUCGUGAACUCCUGGACUCAAGGGAUCCUCCCACCUCAGUCUCCCAAAGUGUUGGAAUUACAGGCAUGAGCCACUUCCUGGCCAAGGCAUGUGUUUUCUAAUAAAAGUGAAUAAAUGUAGCAACACAGCAUGAAGGAUCUAGAGUAAUUGUUUAUGUCCUUUCUCUGUUUUCAAAUAUGAAUUGCCUUGGUUUAUUUUCAUAUUGCACUAGCUUCCUAACUGGUCUCCUUGCUGCAAUCUUGCAUGCCGUGAGUCUUUUCUCUAUGAGGCAGCCAGGACAAUAUUUCUAUUUUGUUGUGUCACUUGCUGGUUUUAAGCUAUUUCUACGGUCCACUCCUAAAUUCUUGAAGUUUUUCAGAUAUGCCAUGUAGUUCCCCCUUUGCACAUUCUCCUUUUCCUGGAAUACCAUCGCUAUUGUCAACUAGAUUGCCAGGUUAAUAUAAUCCUUUGGAAGUCAGAUCAGACAUCGCUACUUCUAGAAAAACUUAACCACCCCAACCUUGUCUGAAUUUGUUUCCUCUCCUCUGUGUUCUUAAGCAUUCUACUACACAGUAUUGUUAUUUUGUAUUUACCUGUCUAUAAGUCAGAGGCACCAUUGUCAGAUCUUCAUCAAGCCUUCUGUGUUGGCAGAGUCCUGUUAUAUAGGAGGGGCUUAAUACAUAUUUCUUAAGUGAGCGAAUGACUUAGUAGGAGCUGGCUUUCAAACCAAUAGUCAAUGUCAUGUUAAUAACCAAUGAACAUUUUCCCAAAGUAUGUUUCAGAAAACACUGCUUCUGAGAAAUAUUAUAGGUGUCCUGGACAGAACACUUCCAUAGUUAAGGAAGUAGAAAAUGCUGCAUGUUCUAUCUCUCCAAAAAGUCGCUAUUUUCAUUAGAAUAUUAAAGGCUCUGGCAUGUUUUUCAAUUAAUAAACUUAUUUACUAUAUAUUUUUCUUACUUUUGUGUGUGUGUGAUUGUGUAGUACCUGUUGGAACUAAUUACUUACGACAAAAACAGCUUGAAAAACCUUGCUCUGCAGGCUUUACUUAAAAUUCGGAAAUCAGAUCAAGCACUGUAGCUCAAGUGCCUGUAAUCCCAGCACUUUAGGGGGCCAAGGUGAGAGGAUCACUUGAGGCCAGGAGCUUGAGACCAGC